This 424-nucleotide ribosomal RNA is filed under the name uncultured Parabacteroides sp. RNAcentral describes it as "bacterial SSU rRNA". It matches the Rfam family "Bacterial small subunit ribosomal RNA", at positions 355 to 776 of the family's 1533-position model. The record is from RNAcentral. Lineage: Bacteria; Pseudomonadati; Bacteroidota; Bacteroidia; Bacteroidales; Tannerellaceae.
UGAGGAAUAUUGGUCAAUGGGCGCGAGCCUGAACCAGCCAAGUCGCGUGAGGGAUGAAGGUUCUAUGGAUCGUAAACCUCUUUUAUAAGGGAAUAAAGUGCGGGACGUGUCCCGUUUUGUAUGUACCUUAUGAAUAAGGAUCGGCUAACUCCGUGCCAGCAGCCGCGGUAAUACGGAGGAUCCGAGCGUUAUCCGGAUUUAUUGGGUUUAAAGGGUGCGUAGGCGGCCUUUUAAGUCAGCGGUGAAAGUCUGUGGCUCAACCAUAGAAUUGCCGUUGAAACUGGGGGGCUUGAGUAUGUUUGAGGCAGGCGGAAUGCGUGGUGUAGCGGUGAAAUGCUUAGAUAUCACGCAGAACCCCGAUUGCGAAGGCAGCCUGCCAAGCCAUGACUGACGCUGAUGCACGAAAGCGUGGGGAUCAAACAGG